Molecule: unclassified non-coding RNA, 287 nt
Filed under: uncultured fungus
Lineage: Eukaryota; Fungi
Description: partial contains 5.8S ribosomal RNA, internal transcribed spacer 2, and large subunit ribosomal RNA
Rfam family: 5.8S ribosomal RNA (bases 1-52)
Source: RNAcentral
AACGCACCUUGCGCUCCUUGGCAUUCCGAGGAGCAUGCCUGUUUGAGUGUCAUUAUAUUCUCAACUCCCACUAGCUUGCUGGCUGGGGCUUGGAUGUUGGGGGUUCUGCUGGCCUAGUCAGCUCCCCUGAAAUGCAUUAGCGGAACCGUUUGCGAUCCGUCACAGGUGUGAUAAUUAUCUACGCCAGUUGGGUUGCUUUCUGUCUGUUCAGCUCACAACCGUCCCUCUGUGGACACUGUUAAUGAACGUUUGACCUCAAAUCAGGUAGGACUACCCGCUGAACUUAA